This is a long non-coding RNA of Triticum aestivum (bread wheat), 721 nucleotides long. RefSeq lists it as uncharacterized. NCBI's taxonomy places the organism in Eukaryota, Viridiplantae, Streptophyta, Magnoliopsida, Poales, Poaceae. The transcript is spliced from 3 exons. The record is from RefSeq and is a predicted model, not a curated record.
CCGAGCCACAGGAGCGCCGCGCCGCUCCCGCACCCGAGGCCGAGCCCGACCCGAGCUCGUGCUCCUGGUCCACCUCGAGCGCUCCCGAGCCGCCGUGUGCAAGCAGAAGACCCAGGGCAACCCCGCAUCCCCGCCUCGAUCUUCCCCGCUGCUACACGCCUCGACUAGGGCAAAGCACAUCUCGCGAGGAGCAUCGGAGAUCGCCGCUGUUCGCCGGGCGAUUUCGCCACCAGCACACCGGAGCGACCACCCACCGCCGAGCCGACGCACCAGAGCAGCCGCCGUUCACAUCCUCGCCGUCGUCAGUAGAGGACGCCCCCGUCUCCGUACUCACCACCACCGCCUCCGCCGCACCCACCCAUCACUUCACCCUCGCCGGAGAGUCGCCGGAGGAGCGCCACCGCCGCCGCCGUUUUCCUCUGUACACGAUUGUCCGGAGUGCGACGCGAGCUAUUGUCAGGAGUGUGACUUUCUGAACCAGAACCAAGGCAAGUUACAUGUUGAUCAUCCUUUACCUAUUGUUUUCUAUGCGUGUAGUAUAUAUCACACUUUGAAUUUAUGCAUGUAUAGGAAUACUAUAUUAUUUUGGCUAUGCUGUUGAGUUAUCUUCCCGUCCUUGCAAACCGUGGUUGUUGUAGUUGCUAUGCUUUGUAGACGGGGGGUGGUUCGUGUAUACAUUGAGUUUAUGUGAGGAUUAUAUAUAACUAAAUUGAGUAGUAAU